UCAGACGUGGUGUAAGGUACACCCUCGCUUUCAUUGUGUGCUCUCAAUCAUUUCACGAGAUCAGCGAGCGUCCGGGGUUCGAUUCCUCGCGUCUGAA
Mycena olivaceomarginata is the source of this 97-nucleotide non-coding RNA. The record is from the annotation of a GenBank genome assembly. Lineage: Eukaryota; Fungi; Basidiomycota; Agaricomycetes; Agaricales; Mycenaceae.